This 72-nucleotide transfer RNA is filed under the name Ictidomys tridecemlineatus (thirteen-lined ground squirrel). RNAcentral's name for it is "Spermophilus tridecemlineatus (thirteen-lined ground squirrel) tRNA". It matches the Rfam family "tRNA". Rfam says of the family: Transfer RNA (tRNA) molecules are approximately 80 nucleotides in length. Lineage: Eukaryota; Metazoa; Chordata; Mammalia; Rodentia; Sciuridae. The record is from Rfam by way of RNAcentral.
AGUGUUGUGGCUCAGUGGUAGAGCGCUUGCCUAGCACAUGCAAGGCCCUGGGUUCAAUCCUCAGCACCAUAU